UUGACGUGUAAGGAUGUUCCGCUACACGUCGCGGAUAUAAAAAGAAAGAAAGAAUUUUUUUUCUUCUAAAUUGUUUUUUUUUUUCAUUGUGUUGAAAUAGUGAGAGAGGAGAAGAGAAGAGAAAUAUACAAAAAACAAAAAAAAGAUUCAAUUUGAUUUUGAAAAAUAAUUUUUUUUUCGUAUAACAAAAGUUAUAAGAGUUGAAAAGUAACUCUGAGAAACGGAAAAAUUUCAUACUUCAAAAGCUUUCAAACAACAUCAUAGUUUUGAAGUUUAAACUGUUGCGAUUUUUAUACUGUUAUUAUAAUUUUUUUUUUUAUUUAUUUUAUUUAUUCUUGUUUUUUUUGUUUCUGCUGUUUCAUCGAAUCAUUAGCAAACAAUUUGGAUUUCUUAUGUUGGUGUAUUUUAAGUUUUUCGUUUUUUGUAAGUAGGAAAAGCUUUUUCAAGUGACUUGUGCAAAAAUAUCAUAAAGUGAAGCUAAAGUGAAGCUGCAAUAUUGAAAAAAAAAAAAAUAUUUUCUCAAUAAUAUUUUUAAAAAAUUUUCAGUCAUUCUUUAGACUUCGAGUGAAGCACAAGUGCUCGGGGAAUACAGUGCCGUAUUAAAAAAGAAAAGAAUAAAAAAAAAUUAAUAAUUUAAAUUAAAAGAAAUAAAAAAAAAUCAAUUACAUAAUAUUUAUUGCAUACACCAUAAAUGUUAUAAAAAAAAAACAAAAAAAAAAAAAGACUCGCGUAUUAUUUUAUAUGGUUUUCUUUAUAAUUUUUAAUUAAAAAAAAAUUAUUUAAAAAAGAAAAUAAGAAAUAAAGAAUUUUAUUAAAAAUAUUUAAAAUAUCGUGAAAGAUUUUGAAUUUUAUGAAAGAAUAAAAAUAAUUUGAAGAAAAGAAACAAAAAUUAUCAAAUUAAUUAUUUUAAAAAAUAAAAGAAAAACACUGUGGCGUUUAGGCCAUGGUGAAUGCAAAGAAAUGACAAAAAAAACUAAAGUGAAUUUUAUAAUUAGAACUUGAAACAAUUCCAGUUUUUUUUAAUAAACAACUUUUAAUAAGUAGAGAGAAGAGCAAUUUUUGAAAAGAAUAACUAAAAAUAAAAAAAAAUUGUUUUUUAAAAACUACAAAUUGGCAAUAAAAAGUGAAUUGAAUUUAGUGAAAAAAAUACUUCUAAAUUAAAAAAUCAAUUUAUUGAAAAAGUGUACAACGAAAUUUAUUUUUCAUAUUACAUUUAAAAAAAAAACACAAUUAGAAUAAGAAAAUUAAUUGAAAUAAAAGGGAAAAAGACAAAAGUAAAAACAAAAUUUUAAAAAUUUAAAAGUAAAUUUUCAAAUUUGUUAGUAUUUUUAGUUUUAUUUAAGAAUAAAAAAAGAACUAAGGUUAAUUAAAGAAACACCAACAAAAACCAACAACUUUAAAUAUAUUAAGUUAAAAAAAAAAAACAAAUAUAGAGAAAAUACAAACUACAACCGCCCAGUUUAACGAAGACAUGCAAGUCGAUGAUAAAUUGGUGAGUAAUUCGAACAGUGAAAAACAUUUUCAAAAGCAAAUUUCUAGCGUUAUUCGUACAUACGAGUAUUACAAAAUUAAAUUAAGGUACAAAAUGUUUAAGUAAUUUUAAAUUAAAUACUCAAUUUUUACCAAAAAUUUGUAUUGUUUGUGCAUAAUAUGUGCAUAUCUCAAGAUUUAAGAUUAUUUUUC
Molecule: long non-coding RNA, 1683 nt
Organism: Condylostylus longicornis
Lineage: Eukaryota; Metazoa; Arthropoda; Insecta; Diptera; Dolichopodidae
Exons: 3
Source: RefSeq, a predicted model, not a curated record